Molecule: transfer RNA, 59 nt
Filed under: Cercosaura ocellata
Lineage: Eukaryota; Metazoa; Chordata; Lepidosauria; Squamata; Gymnophthalmidae
Description: tRNA-Ser
Source: RNAcentral
AAGAAUGAAAUAAGUACUGCUAAUACUUUAAACCAAGAUUAAAAUUUUUGGCACUCUUA